AUGGAGUUAAUCCAGUAAGACCCCUUAGAGAUGAUGAGGUUGAUAGGUCUCGGGUGGAAGCGUGGCGACACGUGGAGCUGAGAGAUACUAAUCGGUCGAGGACUUAUCCUA
This 111-nucleotide non-coding RNA is filed under the name Anaerobacillus arseniciselenatis. RNAcentral describes it as "Bacillus arseniciselenatis Bacterial large subunit ribosomal RNA". It matches the Rfam family "Bacterial large subunit ribosomal RNA", at positions 2815 to 2925 of the family's 2925-position model. Lineage: Bacteria; Bacillati; Bacillota; Bacilli; Caryophanales; Bacillaceae. The record is from Rfam by way of RNAcentral.